GUUAGCGGCGGACGGGUGAGUAACACGUGGGUAACCUGCCUGUAAGACUGGGAUAACUCCGGGAAACCGGAGCUAAUACCGGAUAGUUCCUUGAACCGCAUGGUUCAAGGAUGAAAGACGGUUUCGGCUGUCACUUACAGAUGGACCCGCGGCGCAUUAGCUAGUUGGUGAGGUAACGGCUCACCAAGGCGACGAUGCGUAGCCGACCUGAGAGGGUGAUCGGCCACACUGGGACUGAGACACGGCCCAGACUCCUACGGGAGGCAGCAGUUAAGGGAAUCUUCCGCAAUGGACGAAAGUCUGACGGAGCAACGCCGCGUGAGUGAUGAAGGUUUUCGGAUCGUAAAGCUCUGUUGUUAGGGARGAACAAGUGCAAGAGUAAMUGCUUGCACCUUGACGGUACCUAACCAGAAAAGCMACGGCUAACUACGUGCCAGCAGCCGCGGUAAUACGUAGGGUGGCAAGCGUUGUCCGGAAUUAUUGGGCGUAAAGGGCUCGCAGGGCGGUUUCUUAAGUCUGAUGUGAAAGCCCCCGGCUCAACCGGGGAGGGUCAUUGGAAACUGGGAAACUUGAGUGCAGAAGAGGAGAGUGGAAUUCCACGUGUAGCGGUGAAAUGCGUAGAGAUGUGGAGGAACACCAGUGGCGAAGGCGACUCUCUGGUCUGUAACUGACGCUGAGGAGCGAAAGCGUGGGGAGCGAACAGGAUUAGAUACCCUGGUAGUCCACGCCGUAAACGAUGAGUGCUAAGUGUUAGGGGGUUUCCGCCCCUUAGUGCUGCAGCUAACGCAUUAAGCACUCCGCCUGGGGAGUACGGUCGCAAGACUGAAACUCAAAGGAAUUGGACGGGGGCCCGCACAAAGCGGUGGAGCAUGUGGUUUAWUUCGAAGCAACGCGAARAACCUUACCAGGUCUUGACAUCCUCUGACAACCCUAGAGAUAGG
RNAcentral lists this ribosomal RNA (941 nucleotides) under Bacillus altitudinis. RNAcentral's name for it is "bacterial SSU rRNA". Lineage: Bacteria; Bacillati; Bacillota; Bacilli; Caryophanales; Bacillaceae. The record is from RNAcentral.